Non-coding RNA from Lactuca sativa (garden lettuce), 2091 nucleotides. The record is from RefSeq and is a predicted model, not a curated record. NCBI's taxonomy places the organism in Eukaryota, Viridiplantae, Streptophyta, Magnoliopsida, Asterales, Asteraceae.
UUUCUCCUAUAUAAAUAGCUUCUAUUCCUUUUGAGUCUAUACUCUUUAUAGUAUAUACCAAAUAUAAGUGAAUAGCACUUCGUUCCUUCACUUCACCACUCGGAUUUGAGUUCAAGUUGUGGCUGCUUUCUACAAAUCAUAUUUCCUUGUAUAGAAAACUGAAAUUUUAACACGUUAUUCUAUAUGCUCAUAACUUCCAAGUUCUCAGGAUGGAUGACGAGAUGCAAACAAAGCUUAUUCAACAGGGACAAGAAGAUGAUAGUGACUUGAAACGAAGGAUAUGGGUCGAAUCAAAAAAGAUAUGGAGGGUCGCCUUGCCUGGUAUUAUAGCAAGGGUUUGCGCUUUUGGAACUAUUGUUGUCACUCAGUCAUUCAUCGGACAUAUCAGCGAAACAGAUCUUGCUGGUUAUGCACUUGUUCAAGCACUUAGUGUUCGGUUUGUCAAUGGAAUACUUUUGGGAAUGUCGAGUGCAACCGAAACCCUUUGUGGACAAGCAUUUGGAGCCGGACAAAACCAUAUGAUGGGUAUUUACUUGCAACGAUCAUGGAUUGUGGACUUGAUUACUUUGACCAUCUUGCUCCCAGUCUUCAUCUUUGGUACACAAAUCUUUAAGCUUGUUGGCGAGGAAGAAUCAAUAGCAAACAGUGGUGGAUACAUAUCCUUAUGGUUCAUCCCUUUUGUAUACAACUUCGUUUUCAGCUUAACUAUACAAAUGUAUCUGCAAGCACAGUCAAAGAACAUGAUCAUCGCAUGGAUUUCAAUUUUCCAAUUCACGAUCCAUAUACCUUUGUCGCUACUUUUUAUAUAUAAGUUGAACAUGGGGCUCUCAGGUGCCAUGCUUGCACUGUCGUUUUCAUCUUGGUUCCUUGUGAUUGGCGAAUUCAUCUACAUUUUUGGGGGAUGGUGUCCGCAUUCAUGGAAAGGAUUCACAGUUGCUGCUUUUAAGGAUCUGUUACCAGUUGUGAAGCUCUCAAUAUCCUCUGGUGUGAUGGUCUGCUUAGAGUUAUGGUACAAUGCUUUUCUGGUCUUACUUGCUGGAUACAUGGAAGAUGCCGAGGUCGCAAUAGCAGCCUUCUCUAUUUGCCUGAAUAUUAACGUAUGGGAGUUGAUGAUAAACCUCGGUUUCUUAGGUUCAGCAUGUGUUCGGGUGGCGAAUGAAUUAGGAAGAGGAAACGCUAAAGCAGUGAAGUUUACAAUAAAAGUCUUGUUGGGGACUUCCAUUACCAUUGGCUUAUUCUUCUUCAUUCUUUGUUUGACGUUUGGAAAAAAACUUGCAUACUUGUUUACAAGCGAUGUCAGGGUUGCAGAUGCAAUAUCGGAUCUCUCUUUUCUUCUUUCUUUUUCGGUAUUGUUGAACAGUGUAUAUCCAGUACUAUCAGGGGUGGCAGUUGGAGCUGGAAUGCAAGGAGCUGUAGCAGUCGUGAACUUCGUUUGUUAUUACCUGAUCGGAAUUCCGUUGGGAGCUUUACUUGGGUAUACGACGACUCUUGAAGUUAAGGGUAUAUGGAUUGGACUAAUUGGUGGUGUUAUAACACAAACAAUUACAAUCAUAUAUUUGAUUUGGAGAACAGAUUGGGAUGAUCAGGUCAAGAAGGCUUCAGAACGUCUCGGUCGAUUUUACUUAAAGUUGAAUGAAGAUCCCUACGAGAUUUCUAACGAGUCGUGAUUAUGAAAAAGGUUAUGCUUGUGGUUUAAGGAUCAAGAUAUUCCGUCCACCGAACCACACGUGAAAAGGAUUCAACAUUGUGUUAAAACUCUGGAUGCUUUAAAGCUUAAAAACUCUGGUCAAAGCAACAAUAGCGAUGGAAAUCAUGUUCAAGAACAGAGAUUUUCAGAUGGGUAUGGUGGCAUGCCGCCUCAAUCAAGGUGGAGAGUUAGGAAAUCUUCAUUUACUCCAGGGGUGAAUCAACAUCCACUACUAUCACUGCUGAUCAUUAAUGAAGAUGACAAGAUUGUUGGAAACACGAUGCAAAAAAUCUCAGAAGAAAUUGUAUGGUGACUCUUUGACUAUCAUAAGUCAAUAUACAUAUAUGUAAUGUAACCGGGGAAACCUGGAAAAUUUUAGAUAAAUGGCAUUUAAGACGGGUAAU